This is a long non-coding RNA of Cannabis sativa, 933 nucleotides long. RefSeq lists it as uncharacterized. The transcript is spliced from 2 exons. The record is from RefSeq and is a predicted model, not a curated record. Lineage: Eukaryota; Viridiplantae; Streptophyta; Magnoliopsida; Rosales; Cannabaceae.
UUAUUAAACUUGAUUUAAUAUAUAUAGUUGAUUUUCUAGAAUUUUCUUGUUGCUACUAAGUUUCUAGACUAUUCUUAUAUUUACUAAAGUAGGUGCGUCUAGAGUCUUCUUGUUUGUUUAAGUACUCUUGAACUUUCUAGAAUUAUUUUUCACUUGUGUUAGUAGAGGGAAUUAUGUAGAAAAAUAUAGAAGCUAGUCAUUUAAUAAUGUUUCUAGAUUAGUCUAUAGAGUCCUAUAAAUAGAGAUGUAAUUCUAUCAUUUUGUACCAAGUCACAAAUCACACAAGUUGAGAUAUAAAAUAUAGCUUCUUCCAUUCAAGUAUUCUCUCCAAAGCUCUUCUUAUUUUCCAACAAAGUGAUACCAGAGCCAAGUUUGUGAAGAAAAAUGGCAAGUGGAGGAAUGAUCCCCUUCGAAGUUCCAAUGCUCACCAAGAGCAACUAUGACAAUUGGAGUAUUAAGAUGAAGGCGCUACUAGGAGAUCAAGAUGUAUGGGAUAUUGUUGAGAAAGGUCAUAAGGAGCAAGACGAUGUGUUGCUCUUUCCCAAGCUCAACGAGAUGCGUUAAGGGAUUCAAGAAAGAGGGACAAGAAAGCUCUCUACCUCAACUAUCAAGCGGUGGAUGAAGAUGCAUUCGAGAAGGUCUCAAAUGCAACAACGGCCAAAGAAGCGUGGGAGAAGCUUCAAGCUUGCAACAAAGGAGCGGAGCAAGUGAAAAAGAUUUGUCUUGAAGCUCUUAGAGCCCAACCUUUGAGUCAUUGCUACAAUCAUUGAAAAGAAUACAGAUUAAGAAUCCAUGACUAUUGAGCAACUCCUGGGUUCUUUACAAGCACACGAGGAGAAACAAAAAAGAAAAAACAAGCGAAAGGAGAAGAUGGAGCAAUUACUAAAGCUCACAUUGGAAGAAGAAAAUUCUAACAACAGUAAAGAUCAAAAA